UCUCCCACGCAUGCAAGGCUCCUCUCCCCCACAUUCUCGGCCUCAUCUCCCACUGUCUCACGGCGGCAACACCCCACUGCUCGUCCGCCUCCUCCCCUUCUUCUCGUCAAUGUCGUUGGGUCAGGAGCGGGUAAACGACAUCCAGGAGUCUCGGCGGUGUGUGCAGACGGGGUUGCAGCGCCAGGGCUCUGCAUCUGAUGGAGGGUGGCAUCGUGAUCCGGAGCACUGUCGGGAAGGAGAUGCUAGGAUCAUCCUUCACGGGAGGGGCUGAAGCAGUUCGCCUCGAUGGGCGGCCGAGGAAGGUGGAUCGGGUCAUCGACUCUUCUUCUGAAAAAGAAGACCUCCCUUACAGGUGCAAGCGGAUGAGUCGAUGCGCCCGAAUGAGGGCUACAGAGGACGUCGAAUUCCAUGCACUACCGCCGCCUGAUUCUGCUACCGUGAUGUUUUCUUUCCUUCUUUUUUUUCUCAUAGUUCCACAUCGGAUGUAUGUCUCUUGGACUCUUGGCAGGGAGGAGAAAUUAUUUUACAUGGGGAACGCAAGAUACAUGGAGAAGAUGCACCGCUGCUGAAGCGUCAGCUGUACUGACAAUACUACCAAGGGAGAGUUCAUAUUGUUUGGAGAAAUCGGAGAACCACUUGUUGGUAAAUAGAAAGCUCCCCCGAACGCCACCAUGACCAGGUUGUUCCAUGUCUACAACAAGUAGCAUGACUGGAAGGCUAGAAACAAAAUGCGAUUCAAUUAUGGUGUGUGUCAUAAGUAUAAUAUGUGAAGCUGGUUGCAUUUUAGAGAUUGAACAACACCUGCCUCAUGUUUGUAUGGAAUGAUGACAACAUACUUUGAAUAAACAGGUUGCUCUCAGAGUGUAAAGAUUCAAUGUUGAUGCAUUAAGUCCAGCACACAUGUCACACUCAUGUCAGCACCAGAACAGGAAUUAGUCCUCAGCCAAGGUUUCUGAGAAAAGCUUUCAGGGGUAUCCAGUUGUCACAUGGUCUGGACUCUGGAGUUGGACUACGAAAAUGACUAGGUUGACAAAUUGUUCUGGGAGGCGAUGGAACUGAGGAAUGUUUGUAUCUUCUGUUGAGCUGAACUAAUCGAUGAUGACUGGAUGAGUUUCUUGGAAAGACGGGGAUGCAGAUUGGCAUGCCAAGGUCCAAGACAGACCGAGAGCUUCCACAUCAAAAAUUGUAUUGGGGCAUGCCGGUGGGAGAAGAAUGUACAAAGAGAACGACGACGGAAGCUUAGAAGAAUUUGACCGUGAUUGGGAUGAUAAGAUUGGACUGCAACUGUAUGGCAAAGGAGAAGGGUUUCUGAUAACAGGUACUACUUCAGGCAGAUUCAGAUUAAUCCAUGUCCAUUAAAAAGACUCAAGAUAAGUUGAGUGCAACUAUGUAGGGAUGCAUGUGUUGUAACCUGGCCACUAGCAUAAGAACCAUGGACUGUGAAUGUAACAUGUAACUUUUGCUUUUUUCCUAUAGCCCGAUUGACUAUGGAUACCUAAUACAAAUGAACUUACUACACUGUUU
Lolium rigidum is the source of this 1524-nucleotide long non-coding RNA. RefSeq lists it as uncharacterized. The record is from RefSeq and is a predicted model, not a curated record. The transcript has 9 exons. Lineage: Eukaryota; Viridiplantae; Streptophyta; Magnoliopsida; Poales; Poaceae.